RNAcentral lists this ribosomal RNA (612 nucleotides) under uncultured bacterium. RNAcentral describes it as "bacterial SSU rRNA". It matches the Rfam family "Bacterial small subunit ribosomal RNA", at positions 32 to 636 of the family's 1533-position model. The record is from RNAcentral.
AACGCUGGCGGCAGGCUUACACAUGCAAGUCGAGCGGUAACAUUUCUAGCUUGCUAGAAGAUGACGAGCGGCGGACGGGUGAGUAACGCGUAGGAAUCUGCCUAGUAGUGGGGGACAACAUGUGGAAACGCAUGCUAAUACCGCAUACGCCCUACGGGGGAAAGGAGGGGAUCUUCGGACCUUUCGCUAUUAGAUGAGCCUGCGUGAGAUUAGCUAGUUGGUGGGGUAAAGGCCUACCAAGGCGACGAUCUCUAGCUGGUCUGAGAGGAUGAUCAGCCACACUGGGACUGAGACACGGCCCAGACUCCUACGGGAGGCAGCAGUGGGGAAUAUUGGACAAUGGGCGCAAGCCUGAUCCAGCCAUGCCGCGUGUGUGAAGAAGGCCUUAGGGUUGUAAAGCACUUUCAGGAGUGAGGAAGGGCGUAUAGUUAAUACCUGUAUGUUUUGACGUUAACUCCAGAAGAAGCACCGGCUAACUCUGUGCCAGCAGCCGCGGUAAUACAGAGGGUGCGAGCGUUAAUCGGAAUUACUGGGCGUAAGGCGCGCGUANGCGGUUUGUUAAGUCGGAUGUGAAAUCCCAGGGCUCAACCUUGGAAUGGCACCCGAUACUGG